Long non-coding RNA from Cyanistes caeruleus (blue tit), 1110 nucleotides. RefSeq lists it as uncharacterized. The record is from RefSeq and is a predicted model, not a curated record. NCBI's taxonomy places the organism in Eukaryota, Metazoa, Chordata, Aves, Passeriformes, Paridae.
AAGGGAGGGCUCCUGUCCACGAGCAUUGAGUGACAACCUCGAACCUGUUUCUUCCCAGCCCACCUGGGAAUCCAACCUGCACUCGGAUUUCAAGGGAGAGGGAAUGUGAAGUGUUUCCUCAUCCAACCUGCCGCUAUCUCUUUAGCAGCGAGCCUCUCUCUCCUCUACGGUAAUUUUCCAUUGUGUAGAAUCAAACCUUAUCUUCAAUUCUUCUCCUCCAUUCUAAUAAUAAGUGUGGCUUCACAAGCGAUUCAUUCACCCAACGCUGCUGAUUGGGACUUCACAGCACUUCAAAGUCCUGCCCACAGGUCCUGGAGGGGGGGGUUAAGUGGAACACAGACAUCUGAUGAAGAGAAAAAUAUCAGGUGGAGGUGUUUGCAAGCUUUAGGUUUCGAGAGGCUCUGAAGGAUCCUGUCACCUCUCCUGGGUCAAGGCUCCUCAGCUUUCCAGACAAACACUUUUCCCGGGAUGUUUUGCCAAAUGCCAUGGUGACUCACCCUUGUCACUCCUCUUCUCUGGGGUAGCAACACUGAGAGGGAAAAACAACUGCUGUUUACUGCCAUGCCCAAAAUGGGCCUUGACACUGCCAGCAGGAUUUGGAAAGACAGAAAUAGAGGAGUGAUUAUGGAGUGCAAUUAAGAGACAGCCCUCAGGAUCCUCCUCCAGAGGAGGAUUGGCUCCAUCCAGGCUGCCUGCCAUGCUUGGGAUGGGUGUAAAGCUGCUGGAGAGCUGUGAGGGAUGCAGGAUGCUGCUCCCAGCUGGGCUCACCAGCCAGUCUGCCCCUUCCCAAAAGGAUUCACGGACAAUCCGUGGCAGCAAAUCCAAGGCAGAGAUGAAGAACUGCAAGACUUUUUUCUCUUUGGCUGGUGAAGAGAAACACACACAGUACUGGGACCAUCCCCUGCCGUGUUCCCUGCAAGCAAAUACAAAAGAAGAAGGAAAAAGGCUCAAGAUAUUCAGUGGCAGGUGACAUUUUGGGCUGAGUCACAGAGAUGUCCCCUGUGCAUCCCCAUGGGAAUGGUCCUGCUCCAGCUUGCUGGCAUUUCCCUUUCAGGCCCUGCUCCUAACUCUCAAAUAAAUUGUCUUUAUUCAGUGGGAGAACGAAGAACU